Molecule: ribosomal RNA, 253 nt
Filed under: uncultured bacterium
Lineage: Bacteria
Description: partial 16S ribosomal RNA
Rfam family: Bacterial small subunit ribosomal RNA
Source: RNAcentral
UACGUAGGGUGCAAGCGUUGUCCGGAAUUAUUGGGCGUAAAGAGCUCGUAGGCGGCUUGUCGCGUCGGCUGUGAAAACCCGGAGCUCAACUCCGGGCCUGCAGUCGAUACGGGCGGACUCGAGUUCGGCAGGGGAGACUGGAAUUCCUGGUGUAGCGGUGAAAUGCGCAGAUAUCAGGAGGAACACCGGUGGCGAAGGCGGGUCUCUGGGCCGAUACUGACGCUGAGGAGCGAAAGCGUGGGGAGCGAACAGG